GCAAGUCGAGCGGUAAGGCCUUUCGGGGUACACGAGCGGCGAACGGGUGAGUAACACGUGGGUGAUCUGCCCUGCACUUCGGGAUAAGCCUGGGAAACUGGGUCUAAUACCGGAUAUGACCUCCUAUCGCAUGGUGGGUGGUGGAAAGAUUUAUCGGUGCAGGAUGGGCCCGCGGCCUAUCAGCUUGUUGGUGGGGUAAUGGCCUACCAAGGCGACGACGGGUAGCCGACCUGAGAGGGUGACCGGCCACACUGGGACUGAGACACGGCCCAGACUCCUACGGGAGGCAGCAGUGGGGAAUAUUGCACAAUGGGCGAAAGCCUGAUGCAGCGACGCCGCGUGAGGGAUGACGGCCUUCGGGUUGUAAACCUCUUUCAGCAGGGACGAAGCGCAAGUGACGGUACCUGCAGAAGAAGCACCGGCUAACUACGUGCCAGCAGCCGCGGUAAUACGUAGGGUGCAAGCGUUGUCCGGAAUUACUGGGCGUAAAGAGUUCGUAGGCGGUUUGUCGCGUCGUUUGUGAAAACCAGCAGCUCAACUGCUGGCUUGCAGGCGAUACGGGCAGACUUGAGUACUGCAGGGGAGACUGGAAUUCCUGGUGUAGCGGUGAAAUGCGCAGAUAUCAGGAGGAACACCGGUGGCGAAGGCGGGUCUCUGGGCAGUAACUGACGCUGAGGAACGAAAGCGUGGGUAGCGAACAGGAUUAGAUACCCUGGUAGUCCACG
This 725-nucleotide ribosomal RNA is filed under the name Rhodococcus sp. ILI-S4-I5. Its description in RNAcentral is "bacterial SSU rRNA". It matches the Rfam family "Bacterial small subunit ribosomal RNA", at positions 57 to 799 of the family's 1533-position model. The record is from RNAcentral. Lineage: Bacteria; Bacillati; Actinomycetota; Actinomycetes; Mycobacteriales; Nocardiaceae.